RNAcentral lists this ribosomal RNA (468 nucleotides) under uncultured bacterium. Its description in RNAcentral is "partial 16S ribosomal RNA". It matches the Rfam family "Bacterial small subunit ribosomal RNA", at positions 28 to 507 of the family's 1533-position model. The record is from RNAcentral.
GACGAACGCUGGCGGCGUGCCUAACACAUGCCAGUAGAACGGAAAGGCCCUGCCUUUCUGGGGUGCUCGAGUGGCGAACGGGUGAGUAACACGUGAGUAACCUGCCCUUGACUUUGGGAUAACUUCUGGAAACUGUGGCUAAUACCGCAUAGGAGUUCCUGCUGCAUGGUGUUGGUUGGAAAGUUUCGGUGGCUGGGGAUGGAGUGGGGGCUUAUCUGCUUGAUGGUGUGGGAGUGGCAUACCAAGGCCUUGGCGGGUAGCCGGCCUGGGAGGGUGACCGGCCACAUUGGGAUUGAGGUACGGGCCAGAGGGCAACGGGAGGAAGGGGUGGGGAAUAGUGCAAGAUAGGCGGAGGGCGGGUACAGGGUCGCCGCGUGCGGGAGGACGGCCGUCGGGUAGGAAACCGCGUGCGACUGGGAAGAAGAGAGAGUGACGGUAAUGGGUAAGGAAGCACCGGCUAACUACGUG